RNAcentral lists this ribosomal RNA (107 nucleotides) under Mustela putorius furo (domestic ferret). Lineage: Eukaryota; Metazoa; Chordata; Mammalia; Carnivora; Mustelidae. The record is from RNAcentral.
GUCUACAGCUAUACCACCCUGAACACCCUGCUCUCGUCUGAUCUCGGAAGCUAAGCAGGGUCGGGCCUGGUUAGUACUUGGAUGGGAGAAUGGGUUUAUGAUUAACA